ACGGGAGGCAGCAGUUAGGAAUAUUGGACAAUGGGGGAAACCUUGAUCCAGCCAUGCCGCGUGAGUGAAGAAGGCCUUCGGGUUGUAAAGCUCUUUUGUAUAGGAAAAAGAUGAUGGUACUAUAAGAAUAAGCACCGGCAAACUUCGUGCCAGCAGCCGCGGUAAUACGAAGGGUGCAAGCGUUGUUCGGAAUUACUGGGCGUAAAGGGCGUGUAGGCGGAUAUAUCAGUCAGGAGUGAAAUCCCGGGGCUUAACUUCGGAAUUGCUUUUGAGACGGUAUAUCUAGAGUGUAUUAGGGGACAAUGGAACACCCAGUGUAGAGGUGAAAUUCGUAGAUAUUGGGUAGAACACCGGAGGCGAAGGCGAUUGUCUGGGAUACAACUGACGCUGAGGCGCGAAAGCGUGGGGAUCAAACAGGAUUAGAUACCCUGGUA
RNAcentral lists this ribosomal RNA (434 nucleotides) under uncultured Rhodospirillaceae bacterium. Its description in RNAcentral is "partial 16S ribosomal RNA". It matches the Rfam family "Bacterial small subunit ribosomal RNA", at positions 341 to 792 of the family's 1533-position model. Lineage: Bacteria; Pseudomonadati; Pseudomonadota; Alphaproteobacteria; Rhodospirillales; Rhodospirillaceae. The record is from RNAcentral.